GCCAAGCUGCGGGAGCGCGUGAUACGACUUUAAUCCCGGAGGCCGAUAAGAUACGCAAGGGAGCUGUCCCUGUCCUUGAUAACGGGUUCGUCCUGGGAUCUUGGGCAUUACGGCGCCCACCUGGUUUAACCGGGCCCUCGCGGAUAUGACUGUACACGGCUCCUGCGGCGCUUUU
RNAcentral lists this non-coding RNA (175 nucleotides) under Rhodospirillaceae bacterium. Its description in RNAcentral is "6S RNA". It matches the Rfam family "6S / SsrS RNA". From Rfam's summary of the family: E. coli 6S RNA was the first non coding RNA to be sequenced, but its function was unknown until recently. It consists of 184 nucleotides that fold into an extended hairpin structure with a large single-stranded internal bulge. The record is from RNAcentral. Lineage: Bacteria; Pseudomonadati; Pseudomonadota; Alphaproteobacteria; Rhodospirillales; Rhodospirillaceae.